ACAACUACCCAGCUGAUGCUGUACAUAUAGCUCACAUCCAGAGAAAGAACAAAGCCAUGUCAAAACCGCCUGUGAUUCCUUGAGUGUUUUUCCAGCUACCCACCACCUGCCCACCGUCUCCUCUCGGACCUCAGCUUGGGCUAGAAUCUGACAAUUGGUGCUGUAAGCAGGAUCAUGAGAUUUAGAUGUGGCGGUGCCUCUCUUGCAGCAACAUUUGGCAGCAUGCAGUUGGGCCAUCAAUGAAUCCAAGGUCCAAGGGUCUGGAUUAUCUGCCAAAUUAUUGGAAGUUUCCUGUCUAGUGCUGGAGUUCCAAGCUGGACCUGGUGGUUCAAACCUUGAAUGAACAGCCAUGGAAAGACCGCCCAGCCCUGGUGGAGGCUUUAUUACACUGGGCCACCACCCCUAUUCAGUUGCAGAUACACACUAAGGAUGACCUCCUCCGACCAGGUUAACAUGCUCCAACUGCAUUGUAAACUGCGCCCACACCUGUGCUGAGGUGAUCAAUGUUUCCAACUUUCGGGUCUGCACUGCCCUUCCAGCAGCAGCUGCAGAUGACUUGCCUUGGCAUAUACAUUCAGUGUCUACAGAGAACUGGACAUGGCUGGAGACUUGGGGUCCCGUGGUUGACAUCUGGAAUGCAACGCAGCAAGCUUUGGACAAAGGACGCUGCAAGAUCCAUGGUGCUCCCAUCAUGUGGCUGGCCCAUAGCAUUUAUGAUGGCUGGGGCUGGCUAGCGGGGGAACAUGUAGUACCCCCAGCCCAGGUGUCGCAGAGCAUAGAGCAACACUGGGGUAACACCACUGUGGGAUAGGUACCCAUCACAGCCUGUGUAAACAUAACACAUGUCACCAUACUGAAGGUAUGCUGGAACAAGCAGCCCCCAAGUUUGGGCCCCAAGGGACUUUGUGCCCCCUGGGAGUUUAUGGGUCUGUGGGCACACAGGGUGGCCUUACCUACCAGUGAACUGGACGGAAUGUUGGAACUGGGGGUGGCCACUGUUCUCUCCACAUUGCCCAGACACUGCAUAACUGGAAGGCGCUACACUCUCAUUUUUUGUGAGUGCGACGAGCUCCCCAGUGGUUCUACCCCUUGACAGUGACUAUCCCUGCGGCGGGUGUCACAACUGUAGAAGCACAAGUUACUGCUCUUGCAGAGCACACCACUCGGGCUCUGAAUUACACCCAAGUGGCCCUCCUCCUGUUAAUGGAUGAGGCUGGUCAGAUGAGAAAGGUGGUAUUGCAAAACUGAAUGGCCUUAGACAUAGUAACCUGCUGCACAAGGAGGCACCUGUGCCCUUUUAGGAACACAAUGUUGUACCUUUAUCCCUGACAAUUGGCAGAACAUAACAGCAGCCCUGCAAGAGGUCUCAUGGGAGAUUAAGGUGGUGGAGAGCCUUACUGACAACCCCCUGCAGAGAUGGUGGGCAUCUCUGGGCUGUGGCCUACGCUGGGCCCUUACAGUCCUAAGUAGCAUAGCUGGGAUCCUGGUAAUGAGCUGUUGCUCUCUGUAGUGUUGUGGGUUAUGGAUUCAGGGCUCCACCCUAUGGGCACGUAUCCCUACCUGAAAGACUCCUCUCAGCCUAGGGGAUGGAGUGUAAGGGAAAUGGCUGCAUUUUAGUCAGGAGUAGGCUGAGGCAGCCUUCUGGCACAGCAUGACUCAGUGGGUUUGGAACGCAGGCACACAACUCUACACAUUAUGUAACCAUGCCACGUGAGGCACAUUAGGUGACCAUUCACAUGAGCCUGUGCUUGGCUGGGAUCCAUUAUUGUCUCUAAAAGGUUUAACUACCCUGCUGAUGCUGUACAUAUGGCUCGCGCCUAGAGAGAGAAUAACGCCAUGUCAAAACUGCCUACGAUUCCUCAAGUUUUUCCAGCUACCUGCCACCAGCCCACCAACUCCCUUUGGACCUCAGUUUGGGCUAGAAUCUGACAAACAGUAACAAAUAAUUCUUUUUUCUUGAGUUCAAACCAUGAAUAAUUAUUUACUCUGCAUUGUAAUUAUAGGGUUGUCAUUCAGAAGACAAAGUCUAGGCAAAUGGCAGGUAUCUUCUAAGGACUAACAUUUUUAAGUAAUAAUGCUCAUUUAUAGACAUUGCUGGUAGGCUCAGGAGCUGUUAUUUUGUUGAUCUUCAUUUUGUUAUUUUCUUAUCAUCAAAUGUUUUAUUUAUAACACUAUUAUAUUUUUUUCUUUCUUUCUUUAAAAGAUGUAUUUCCUCAGGAAGGAAGGUUUAGGACUAACUGAAAACUCCCAUUUCGUAGGUAGAUGAUGAACUGAGAUAAUGGUUAAGUGACUAGUUAUAAAGUCUAAC
Molecule: long non-coding RNA, 2308 nt
Organism: Homo sapiens (human)
Lineage: Eukaryota; Metazoa; Chordata; Mammalia; Primates; Hominidae
Source: Ensembl